GCAAGUGCCUAAAGACGAGCUCGCGCCUGAUUAGCUAGUUGGUGGGGUAAAGGCCUACCAAGGCGACGAUCAGUAGCUGGUUUGAGAGAAUGAUCAGCCACACUGGAACUGAGACACGGUCCAGACUCCUGCGGGAGGCAGCAGUGGGGAAUUUUCCGCAAUGGGCGAAAGCCUGACGGAGCAAUACCGCGUGAGGGAUUAAGGCCUGUGGGUUGUAAACCUCUUUUCUCAAGGAAGAAUCAAUGACGGUACUUGAGGAAUAAGCAUCGACUAACUCCGUGCCAGCAGCCGCGGUAAUACGGGGGAUGCAAGCGUUAUGCGGAAUUAUUGGGCGUAAAGCGUCUGUAGGUUGUUUAAUAAGUCUGUUGUUAAAGACUGGGGCUUAACCCCAGGAAAGCAAUGGAAACUGUUAGGCUAGAGUGUGGUAGAGGUAGAGGGAAUUCCUAGUGUAGCGGUGAAAUGCGUAGAUAUUAGGAAGAACACCGGUGGCGAAAGCGCUCUGCUGGGCCAUAACUGACACUCAGAGACGAAAGCUAGGGUAGCAAAUGGGAUUAGAUACCCCAGUAGUCCUAGCCGUAAACGAUGGAUACUAGAUGUUGCGUAACUUGAUUAUGCAGUGUUUUAGCUAACGCGUUAAGUAUCCCGCCUGGGGAGUACACUCGCAAGGGUGAAACUCAAAGGAAUCGACGGGGGCCCGCACAAGCGGUGGAGCAUGUGGUUUAAUUUGAUGCAACGCGAAGAACCUUACCAAGGCUUGACAUGUCACGAAUCUCACUGAGAAGAGAGAGUGCCUUCGGGAACGUGAACACAGGUGGUGCAUGGCUGUCGUCAGCUCGUGUCGUGAGAUGUUGGGUUAAGUCCCGCAACGAGCGCAACCCUUGUCUUUAGUUACCAUCAUUCAGUUGGGGACUCUAGAGAGACUGCCGGUGACAAACCGGAGGAAGGUGAGGACGACGUCAAGUCAGCAUGCCCCUUAUGCCUUGGGCUACACACGUGCUACAAUGGCUAAGACAAAGAGCAGCAAGCUUGUGAAAGUUAGCAAAUCUCAUAAACUU
This 1055-nucleotide ribosomal RNA is filed under the name uncultured marine rappemonad. Its description in RNAcentral is "bacterial SSU rRNA". It matches the Rfam family "Bacterial small subunit ribosomal RNA", at positions 211 to 1283 of the family's 1533-position model. The record is from RNAcentral.